RNAcentral lists this ribosomal RNA (646 nucleotides) under uncultured Hypocreales. RNAcentral's name for it is "eukaryotic LSU rRNA". The stretch from base 287 to 440 matches the Rfam family "5.8S ribosomal RNA". Lineage: Eukaryota; Fungi; Ascomycota; Sordariomycetes; Hypocreales. The record is from RNAcentral.
CAUAUCAAUAAGCGGAUCUUGGUCAUUUAGAGGAAGUAAAAGUCGUAACAAGGUCUCCGUUGGUGAACCAGCGGAGGGAUCAUUACCGAGUUUACAACUCCCAAACCCAAUGUGAACGUUACCAAACUGUUGCCUCGGCGGGAUCUCUGCCCCGGGUGCGUCGCAGCCCCGGACCAAGGCGCCCGCCGGAGGACCAACCAAAACUCUUAUUGUAUACCCCCUCGCGGGUUUUUUUAUAAUCUGAGCCUUCUCGGCGCCUCUCGUAGGCGUUUCGAAAAUGAAUCAAAACUUUCAACAACGGAUCUCUUGGUUCUGGCAUCGAUGAAGAACGCAGCGAAAUGCGAUAAGUAAUGUGAAUUGCAGAAUUCAGUGAAUCAUCGAAUCUUUGAACGCACAUUGCGCCCGCCAGUAUUCUGGCGGGCAUGCCUGUCCGAGCGUCAUUUCAACCCUCGAACCCCUCCGGGGGGUCGGCGUUGGGGAUCGGCCCUCCCUUAGCGGGUGGCCGUCUCCGAAAUACAGUGGCGGUCUCGCCGCAGCCUCUCGUGCGCAGUAGUUUGCACACUCGCAUGGGGAGCGCGGUCCGUCCACAGCCUUUAAACACCCAACUUCUGACAUGUUGACCUCCGAUCACGUAGGAAUACCCGCU